UACGUAGGGUGCGAGCGUUGUCCGGAAUUAUUGGGCGUAAAGAGCUCGUAGGCGGUCUGUCGCGUCGGUCGUGAAAACUUGGGGCUUAACCCUGGGCUUGCGGUCGAUACGGGCAUGACUGGAGUUCGGUAGGGGAGACUGGAAUUCCUGGUGUAGCGGUGAAAUGCGCAGAUAUCAGGAGGAACACCAAUGGCGAAGGCAGCUCGCUGGGACGUGACUGACGCUGAGACGCGAAAGCGUGGGGAGCAAACAGG
RNAcentral lists this ribosomal RNA (254 nucleotides) under uncultured bacterium. Its description in RNAcentral is "partial 16S ribosomal RNA". It matches the Rfam family "Bacterial small subunit ribosomal RNA", at positions 524 to 776 of the family's 1533-position model. The record is from RNAcentral.